This 253-nucleotide ribosomal RNA is filed under the name uncultured bacterium. RNAcentral describes it as "partial 16S ribosomal RNA". It matches the Rfam family "Bacterial small subunit ribosomal RNA", at positions 524 to 776 of the family's 1533-position model. The record is from RNAcentral.
AACGUAGGAGACAAACGUUAUCCGGAGUUACUGGGCGUAAAGGGCGUGUAGGCGGUUUGUUAAGUUUGGCGUGAAAGCUCUCGGCUAAACCGGGAGAGGUCGUUGGAUACUGGCAAACUAGAGGACGGUAGAGGCGUGUGGAAUUCCGGGUGUAGUGGUGAAAUGCGUAGAGAUGUGGAGGAACACCUGUGGCGAAGGCGCCUUGCUGGCCGAUUUCUGACGCUGAGGCGCGAAAGCGUGGGGAGCAAACAGG